GACGAACGCUGGCGGCGUGCUUAACACAUGCAAGUCGAGCGGUAAGGCCCUUCGGGGGUACGACGAGCGGCGAACGGGUGAGUAACACGUGGGUGACCUGCCCUCAGCUCUGGGAUAAGCCUGGGAAACCGGGUCUAAUACCGGAUAUGACUCCAUGACGCAUGUUGUGGGGUGGAAAGCCUUGUGCGGCUGAGGAUGGGCCCGCGGCCUAUCAGCUUGUUGGUGGGGUGAUGGCCUACC
RNAcentral lists this ribosomal RNA (240 nucleotides) under uncultured bacterium. Its description in RNAcentral is "partial 16S ribosomal RNA". It matches the Rfam family "Bacterial small subunit ribosomal RNA", at positions 28 to 269 of the family's 1533-position model. The record is from RNAcentral.